Molecule: ribosomal RNA, 792 nt
Filed under: uncultured bacterium
Lineage: Bacteria
Description: bacterial SSU rRNA
Rfam family: Bacterial small subunit ribosomal RNA
Source: RNAcentral
AGAGUUUGAUCCUGGCUCAGGAUGAACGCUAGCGGCAGGCUUAAUACAUGCAAGUCGAGGGGCAACAGGGGUAGCAAUACCUGCUGGCGACCGGCAAACGGGUGCGGAACACGUACAGAACCUUCCUUUAAGCGGGGGAUAGCCCGGAGAAAUCCGGAUUAAUACCCCAUAGCAAUAGUGAUUGGCAUCAAUUAUUAUUUAAAGAUUUAUCACUUAAAGAUGGCUGUGCGUAUGAUUAGGUAGUUGGUUGAGGUAAUGGCUCACCAAGCCUGCGAUCAUUAACUGGUGUGAGAGCACGACCAGUCACACGGGCACUGAGACACGGGCCCGACUCCUACGGGAGGCAGCAGUAAGGAAUAUUGGUCAAUGGACGCAAGUCUGAACCAGCCAUGCCGCGUGAAGGAUGAAGGCCCUCUGGGUUGUAAACUUCUUUUAUGUGGGAAGAAAUGCAUUCUUUAUAGAGUGUUUGACGGUACCAUAGGAAUAAGCACCGGCUAACUCCGUGCCAGCAGCCGCGGUAAUACGGAGGGUGCAAGCGUUAUCCGGAUUCACUGGGUUUAAAGGGUGCGUAGGUGGGCUUGUAAGUCAGUGGUGAAAUCUCCGUGCUUAACAUGGAAACUGCCAUUGAUACUAUAGGUCUUGAAUUUUCCGGAGGUUAGCGGAAUAUGUCUGUAGCGGUGAAAUGCUUAGAUAUGACAUAGAACACCAAUUGCGAAGGCAGCUAACUACAGGGACAUUGACACUGAGGCACGAAAGCGUGGGAUCAAACAGGAUUAGAUACCCUAGUAGUCC